GACGAACGCUGGCGGCGUGCUUAACACAUGCAAGUCGAACGGAAAGGCCCUGCUUUUGUGGGGUGCUCGAGUGGCGAACGGGUGAGUAACACGUGAGUAACCUGCCCUUGACUUCGGGAUAACUCCAGGAAACUGGGGCUCAUACCGGAUAGGAGCUCCUGCUGCAUGGUGGGGGUUGGAAAGUUUCGGCGGUUGGGGAUGGACUCGCGGCUUAUCAGCUUGUUGGUGGGGUAGUGGCUUACCAAGGCUUUGACGGGUAGCCGGCCUGAGAGGGGGACCGGCCACAUGGGGACUGAGAUACGGACCAGACUCCUACGGGACGCAGCAGUGGGGAGUAUUGCAGAAUGGGCGGGAGCCUGAUGCAGCAACGCCGCGUGCGGGAUGACGGCCUUCGGGUUGUAAACCGCUGUCGCCUGUGACGAAGCGUGAGUGACGGUAACGGGUAAAGAAGCACCGGCUAACUACGUG
RNAcentral lists this ribosomal RNA (468 nucleotides) under uncultured bacterium. Its description in RNAcentral is "partial 16S ribosomal RNA". It matches the Rfam family "Bacterial small subunit ribosomal RNA", at positions 28 to 507 of the family's 1533-position model. The record is from RNAcentral.